This 468-nucleotide ribosomal RNA is filed under the name uncultured bacterium. RNAcentral's name for it is "partial 16S ribosomal RNA". It matches the Rfam family "Bacterial small subunit ribosomal RNA", at positions 28 to 507 of the family's 1533-position model. The record is from RNAcentral.
GACGAACGCUGGCGGCGUGCUUAACACAUGCAAGUCGAACGGAAAGGCCCUGCUUUGGUGGGGUGCUCGAGUGGCGAACGGGUGAGUAACACGUGAGUAACCUGCCCUUGACUUUGGGAUAACUUCGGGAAACUGGGGCUAAUACCGGAUAGGAGCUCCUGCUGCAUGGUGGGGGUUGGAAAGUUUCGGCGGUUGGGGAUGGACUCGCGGCCUAUCAGCUUGUUGGUGGGGUAGUGGCUUACCAAGGCUUUGACAGGUAGCCGGCCUGAGAGGGUGACCGGACACACUGGGACUGAGAUACGGCCCAGACUCGUACGGGAGGCAGCAGUGGGGUAUAUUGCACAAUGGGCGGAAGCCUGGUGCAGCAACGCCGCGUGCGGGGUGACGGCCUUCGGGUUGUAAACCGCUUUCGCCUGUGACGAAGCGUGAGUGACGGUAAUGGGUAAAGAAGCACCGGCUAACUACGUG